CGCCGUGGGUUGAUGCAUUUAGUCAGAGUUUGCUAGGGAGUAGAUGUACUACGGGAUGUACACAUAAUUUAUAGGGUUAUCUUGUAGUAGUCACCUCACAAGUCAAAUGCAGAGGAGGGCGAGAUCUGUCUGUGCGCUAGAGACCCGAAGAAUCCAGCCGAGGGCCUGGAUCCCUCAGCAGUGUCGCCCACGAGUACAGCCGCAGGCCUAGAGCCCACGGCAAUGUCUCCUGCAAGUUCUAUCAGGAGGACGAGGAAUCCACCGUGGAAGACCUACAGGUCUGCGCCGGGAAAGCCCAAGGGCUGGCGCUGGAAGCUAGAGAAUCUGCCUGGAGCUAGGAAGCUACGCUCAAGACGAAAGAGAACGGCAGCACAAAGAGAAGAGCAGCCGUCCAUGGCAACAGCGAGAACCUAAGUUCCUCUUCCUAGGAGAAAUCAAGUUCAUAUCAGGAAAAGCAAGUUUCUCCUGGGAAAUCAGCAUCAUGAACACACCCCCCCCCCGACUCUAGUUCUCCUUUUAUGCCUUCCGACAACAGUCCUCACCUGGGUCUUCCACACCCAAAGCCUCGCAGACUCAGCUCAGCUGGACAAUUCCCCACAGACUGACCACUCACCCACCCGCCGCAGGUGGGCACCGUCUCCCCCGCCGCGCCCCCUGCCGUCAGCUCUCUGGCUUGGACCCAGCUCUGACCACAGGCUGCAACUGUGAGCCGAAACAAACCUCUCCUUUAAGGUGCGGGUGUUGGGUAUUGUGUCUCAGUGAAAGGAAAGUGCCGUAGACUCUGAGUGGAGGAGAAAGAAUGUGGAAUGAGGUGCUCUGGAUCACUGUGCAGUUGAAAGCGUUUCAACAAAGCUGGGAAGGAGUCCUCAAAGCCAAGGCAGCCCUCAGAGGACCGGUGUGCUGCACUGUGACUGGCUGGAAGCGACCCCAGGAACAGCGCCUCCCAGCAGUGGAUUUCAGAGCACCUCAGCUGCAACCCUUGCUCAAGUGCGUUUCUUACAAUUAGAAGUGUGUGAGCUCAGUUUGCGUCAAUAGACUGAAGAGAAAUGCAGAGUACACGGUAAUGCAUUGUAUAUUGAUUGCUUUGAUCAGUAAUAAGACAUAAUCCAACGUGUCUGGCAUUGAGAAGGAAGAAGCAUGACUGGCGGUUCCUUAAUCUUCCUCCCCACCUCUCGGCCCCCAGCAUUAAGAUUCGGAGAAGCACUGAAUUUACAUUUGCUUAUUCUCUUUCACUCCUUUUUACCUUCACUCUGUUACUGUCAAGUUUUAUUUUCUGAUACUCCCGAACACCGACCCAGGCUCCUCUCAGCCACCAAGCAUACCAUACACGUUGCUACAGCCUGGGAGAAAACUUGGAUGAAGACAUCAGGAUGUACGUACCAUGAAAAUACCAUCAGCAAGGAAAUGAGAGAGACCUCAGAAAAAAAAAAGAUGCCAAAACCAUGAUCUUAGAUUUAAAGUCUUCAGAACUGUGAGAAAAUAAAUUUCUGUUAUUUAAGCCACCCAGAGUGCGGUAUUUUGUUACAGCAGCCCUAGCACACUAAUAUAGGUAGGAUGUUGUAUUAGAGGGCUUUGUAUACUAGAGUUAAAGAUGAAAAUGUAUCUAAAAAUAAAAAGGGUUGAAGCUGGGCAUGGUGGCACACCCCUGUAAUCCCAGCACUCGGGAGGCUGAGGCAGGAGAAUCACCUUGAGUUCGAGGCCAGUCUGGGCUACAAAGGGAGACCCUUCCUCAAAAAACAAAAACAAAACAAAAGAAAAUAAAUAAAUAAAUUAAAAGGGUUGGGAAGAACUGUCAAGAUCACCAAAAAUGAAGAAAGUUAGGAACUAUUAGCACCAACCAAGAGAGAUUAUGUAAAGGUGCAAAAUUUCCAAUGAUGAAUGUCAUUGUAUUGUUUACCUAAAA
Heterocephalus glaber (naked mole-rat) is the source of this 1903-nucleotide long non-coding RNA. Lineage: Eukaryota; Metazoa; Chordata; Mammalia; Rodentia; Bathyergidae. The record is from Ensembl.